UUUCUGUUAAUGCAGCCAUGGUUACAGGGCAGUGAAUUAUUCUUUCCAUGGAGUGGACGUGUUUGACUAAGAUAAUAUUUUUCACUAGUGUGUGUUGUUAUUCUGCUGCCAUGAAGUUUUUAACCCAGACACUAUGUCUUUGAUGAUCCAAUUGAUACGGUCUCCUAUGGCUAUGGACACUUGAUAAGUACUCAGCCAAUUUUGGAUCUUUUCCUUAGACAGUGCCAUUAAUGCUCCUCUACAUCUGAUCUUCUAGCUACAUAGAUAUUUCGGUUAUCACAACUUGUUUUUUUUGUUU
Molecule: long non-coding RNA, 298 nt
Filed under: Solanum tuberosum (potato)
Lineage: Eukaryota; Viridiplantae; Streptophyta; Magnoliopsida; Solanales; Solanaceae
Description: long non-coding RNA (STUB_LNC000471)
Source: RNAcentral